UGUAUUCUGCUAUGUCUACUGGGAGAAUACACUAGUGGGGAUAGUUCUGUGUAUACAGUGAUUAAGCACAUAGGUUCUGGAGCCAGUCUGUUUCUUUCAAAAUCACCUCAUUGCUUUUGAAGAAUCAGGGAAACCCCCAUGAGACUACAGGUGUGAAGCAAGAUAGAAGCAUCAGUGCAAAAGAGUACUGCAUUUCCAAAUAAAGCCACUCACAAUCUUUAAUCAGGCUGUAAAUUUUAAGAAAUCUGGACCAAGACAGUUUGCUCCAAGAGUAUCCCACAAAUGCAGAUCUUCAGAGUGAGAUUUUAUUAUUGGAUUGCUCACCUGUCUGUUGUUCCUCUAAUCUGAUGGGACACUCCCGCAAUGAUGCUUCAGCUGUAUUUUAACCUCAAGAAACCCUAAGAUCCCUCACUCCUAUGCUGCUGUCAACGGGAGGCUAAGAAGCACAGAGAAAUAGGCCAUACAAAGUCUACCUCUCUGAACACUCUGGUUUGUUGAGAUGACAGAUGGUUAAGUCUCUCUCUGACAUCAAGAGUUAGAGCCAAAGUUAUCAUGGAAUUGUUUCUUUUGGAAUGUCAAGUUUAUGUGCACCGUAUCACUCUUCUGAAAUGGACUCAAGAUUCAGGGUCUCAUCUCACUUUUGAUUUAACUACACUCAUAUUCAUCCAUGUGUGAAAAAUGGUGAUCACACUAGAAAGCUUGUUCUUACUGUUUCCUUGCAUAUCUGAAUACCUGCAUCACAUUCAAAUCUAACUCACUGCCUUAAUUUAAUAGCUGAAAGAAACACUGAACAAGUCACACUCCUGCAAGGGCAUGGAACACAGAAUGAUUCUCUUACUGAGAUACCUUGGAACAUGGUUUGAAUAAUAUUGCUCUAACUUCUUUCAUGUCAGGAAGCUCUGAGAUACUUCCUUUUCUUACUUAAUAAGAAUAGACCUUGGAGGUCUGGACCUGGACAUGAACGUACACUUUUCUAAAGAAGAUAUACACAUGGCCAACAAGCAUGUGAAAAAAAGCUCAAUAUCACUGAUCAUUAGAGAAAUGCAAAUGAAAAUCACAAUGAGAGACCAUCUCACACCAGUCAGAAUGGCUAUUAUUAAAAACUCAAAAAAUAACAGAUGCUGGCGAGGUUGCAGAGAAAAGGGAACACUUAUACACUGUUGGUGGGAGUGUAAAUUAGUUCAACUAUUGUGUAAAGCAAUAUGUCAAUUCCUCAAAGAGCUAAAAAAGAACUACCAUUGGACUCAGCAAUCCCAUUACUGGGUAUAUACUCAGAGGAAUAUAAGUCACUCUACUAUAAACACACACGCAUGCAAAUUUUCAUUGUAGCACUAUUUACAAUAGCAAAGACAUGGAAUCAACCUAAAUGCUCAUCAAUGACAGAUCGGAUAAAGAAAAUAUGCAUCUUCAACCUUUCUGGACUACAGCACCUGCCAACUGACCCCCACAUCAUGGCUCCAACGCUGGCUUCAUCACAUAUCUUCUCUCUCAGUCCCUUUGGCUCUCAGGGUGCAAUAGCUUAACAAAAUUGCUGAUCUAGGUGCCUCAGCAUUGUUUCUUUGUCAUAGUCUCUGUAUUAUCUUAUUUUGAGCCAUUCUUUUCCUGCAAAGAUCCUAACUGAAUGAGAUAACUACUUCAUAAGCUAUUUGUAAGGUUUAAAUAAAUUAAUGCAUAUUUAAUACAUGAA
This 1687-nucleotide long non-coding RNA is filed under the name Homo sapiens (human). RNAcentral describes it as "uncharacterized LOC105375387, transcript variant 8 (LOC105375387)". Lineage: Eukaryota; Metazoa; Chordata; Mammalia; Primates; Hominidae. The record is from RNAcentral.